AUGGCCACUGAGCACUGUAGGAGUGCCCAUGGGGUUGGAUGGCAGCUGAUCCUCCUCUGCAUUGCAGCCACACAUGGGGACAGGGACACAGAAGGACAGGGACACAGCAGGACAGCGAGAUGCUACAGUCCUCACCCGCAUUCAUACCCGGACAAGAGGGCCACGCUCCUCAGGACAGCUGCUUGCACCAGACCUAUUGAUUGCGGUGGGUUUUUCCACACAUGUCCAUGGAAGUGGCUGGCAGACCAGCAACCUGGUGAGCAGGGCAAUGAUGGGGAGGGCAGCACAGAGAACCAGGGCACGUGGCUGCUCCUUUCUUCCUUCCCAUCUGCCUUGCAGAUGGGGCACCCAAAUGAAGAUGGAGCCAGAGCAGGAUACACGUCUAUCCUCAUCUCACUAAUUGGUCUCCACGCUGCCGUAAGAAAAGAUAAGUCAGCCACAAACAGUACCCCUUCUAGUUUCCGAGGGUCCCUGGAAGCUCCCCAAAGUCCCCCUGCCCGCACCACAACAUUUGAUACUGCUUUGCAGAGACCUGGCCCCACGGCAGGUGCUGGCACCAGGCAUAUUGAAUGCAGGGGCCCUUUCAGCACACUGCCAUGAAAAUGGCUGGCAGACCAGCAACCCGGAUCUGGGGAUCUGCACUGCAUGGACAGAGGCAGCUCCACAGCACCUCUCAGCUACGGUCCCCACCACGGACCUGCGCACAUGUAAGUUUUCCACAGAGAUAAGCAGUUGCUUAUGUCUGCUCACCUUAGGAUGGUGUCAGGAAGUUGAGUAUCGCACACAUCAGCAUCUCAAGGAACCAUAUGGACCUGUCUACAAUUGACCUUUGAAGAUAAGGAACAAACAAGAAGCUAAAAAAGGAUGAAUGGGCCCAACUGAGAAAUACCAGAGACACCACAUCCAGAAGAGAAGGCAAGCACCGUAACUGAGCAUGCUCCUGAGACUGGGGAUGAAAGUUUAGGAGCAUUGAAGACUGUCAGCCUUCCUUCCUUGACCCCCAGAUGACCACUGAGAAGCUAUCACAGAAUUAACAAUAAAUUUAAAAACCUUCAAAAUAAACUUUCUGAU
This 1071-nucleotide long non-coding RNA is filed under the name Phasianus colchicus (ring-necked pheasant). RNAcentral describes it as "lncRNA (ENSPCLG00000021241.1)". The record is from RNAcentral. Lineage: Eukaryota; Metazoa; Chordata; Aves; Galliformes; Phasianidae.